AACGAACGCUGGCGGCAUGCCUAACACAUGCAAGUCGAACGAGACCUUCGGGUCUAGUGGCGCACGGGUGCGUAACGCGUGGGAAUCUGCCCCUUGGUUCGGAAUAACAGUUAGAAAUGACUGCUAAUACCGGAUGAUGACGAAAGUCCGAAGAUUUAUCGCCGAGGGAUGAGCCCGCGUAGGAUUAGCUAGUUGGUGAGGUAAAGGCUCACCAAGGCGACGAUCCUUAGCUGGUCUGAGAGGAUGAUCAGCCACACUGGGACUGAGACACGGCCCAGACUCCUACGGGAGGCAGCAGUGGGGAAUAUUGGACAAUGGGCGAAAGCCUGAUCCAGCAAUGCCGCGUGAGUGAUGAAGGCCUUAGGGUCGUAAAGCUCUUUACCAGGGAUGAUAAUGACAGUACCUGGAGAAU
This 412-nucleotide ribosomal RNA is filed under the name uncultured bacterium. RNAcentral's name for it is "bacterial SSU rRNA". It matches the Rfam family "Bacterial small subunit ribosomal RNA", at positions 29 to 487 of the family's 1533-position model. The record is from RNAcentral.